CCUCAAAUCUAAAAAAUAAAAAAAUAUAUAUAUAAAUCAGACUCCUAAAUCUAUACAUUAACUAAAAAAAUAUAUAUGAAGCUCUUAAACUUGAUUCGCCUCCGUUUGGUUGGGGGUUAAGAGGUGGAAUAACUCUUUAACCCUCAUUUUAUCCCCAAACACUUUUAAAAAUGGGUGGGGUUAGCUAACUCUUCCUCAAAUGGGUUAUCCCGGAUUAGCUAACCCCACCUAACCCCACCAAACCCCAACCAGACAUUAUUUUAUAUUCAUAAUAACUCACUAUCCACCAAACAUUAUUUUUUACUAUCCUGGACUAACUCCAACUUCCAACUAAAUACAAAAAUACUCUAACCCCACCUUAACCCUAAACUUAACCCUAUUUUUGGAAUAACUAGUUUUUCCUUAACCCCGAACCAAACGGUAGUGAAGUGAUAGUAAUAGAAAACAAAAUAAGAAA
Molecule: long non-coding RNA, 457 nt
Filed under: Ananas comosus (pineapple)
Lineage: Eukaryota; Viridiplantae; Streptophyta; Magnoliopsida; Poales; Bromeliaceae
Description: long non-coding RNA (ACOM_LNC033004)
Source: RNAcentral